Molecule: unclassified non-coding RNA, 346 nt
Filed under: soil metagenome
Description: partial contains 5.8S ribosomal RNA, internal transcribed spacer 2, and large subunit ribosomal RNA
Rfam family: 5.8S ribosomal RNA (bases 1-119)
Source: RNAcentral
GAUGAAGAACGUAGCGAAAUGCGAUACGUAAUGUGAAUUGCAAAUUCAGUGAAUCAUCGAGUCUUUGAACGCACAUUGCGCCCCCUGGUAUUCCGGGGUGCAUGCCUGUCCGAGCGUCAUUGCUGCCCUCAAGCACGGCUUGUGUGUUGGGCCCCGUCCUCCGAUCCCGGGGGACGGGCCCGAAAGGCAGCGGCGGCACCGCGUCCGGUCCUCGAGCGUAUGGGGCUUUGUCACCCGCUCUGUAGGCCCGGCCGGCGCUUGCCGAUCAACCCAAAUUUUUUAUCCAGGUUGACCUCGGAUCAGGUAGGGAUACCCGCUGAACUUAAGCAUAUCAAUAAGCGGAGGA